Bufo gargarizans (Asiatic toad) is the source of this 690-nucleotide long non-coding RNA. RefSeq lists it as uncharacterized. NCBI's taxonomy places the organism in Eukaryota, Metazoa, Chordata, Amphibia, Anura, Bufonidae. The record is from RefSeq and is a predicted model, not a curated record. The transcript is spliced from 2 exons.
GGGCCUCUCUUACCCCGGGAGAAUACGUUAUUGUACCAUCCACGUAUGACCUCAACCAAGAGGGGCGACUUUUACAUCCGAGUGUAUUGUGAGAAAGGAACAGACGACCGGAUUUACUGAAACCUCACAGACCGCGUCAGCCCAUACCCUGGUUACUAAGAAGAUGGUGCUGCACCUCCACCCAAGUCCAGAAGUACAAUGACCCCGAGGCCCCCUCAUCUGUGGAUGGGAAACACUGACGGCGCGUUACAAUCCUAUAAAACACCAACAAUUUUCUGAUGUCUCCAGAACAGUAAAAGAGAAAUCUGUGUUAUCAUUGAGUGUCCUGUGUCACUGACGGAGCACAAACACCUCUCAGCUACUCCAUUCAUGUCUAAAGCCACUAAAUCCCAUGUAGUGAGGAUAUCCAUCACCUGGGACAAUGCUUCAGCUGACUACCCUAACCAGGGCCCCCUUUCCUGGCACUAAGUAGGGGCCACAGCCCCUACCCCAGAACCACACGUGUCCCUGAUGACAUACAGAAUGCAGCUACUUCCAGCGCCGUCUAUUACUGGCCGAGUAGGAGACAGAAUUUUCUGCAAAAACUGAGGGAAAAUAAAGCAGCGCACCUCUGGCCACACCCAUUUCCUAAAAAUCCAUGCCCCUUUCCUGAACAAAGUUAAAAUAAAAUAAAAACUUGGAGAAAUCCUA